Molecule: ribosomal RNA, 433 nt
Filed under: uncultured bacterium
Lineage: Bacteria
Description: partial 16S ribosomal RNA
Rfam family: Bacterial small subunit ribosomal RNA
Source: RNAcentral
AACGAACGCUGGCGGCAUGCCUAACACAUGCAAGUCGAACGAGACCUUCGGGUCUAGUGGCGCACGGGUGCGUAACGCGUGGGAACCUGCCCUUAGGUUCGGAAUAACUCCCCGAAAGGGGUGCUAAUACCGGAUAAUGUCUUCGGACCAAAGAUUUAUCGCCUUUGGAUGGGCCCGCGUUGGAUUAGCUUGUUGUUAGGGUAAAAGCCUACCAAGGCGACGAUCCAUAGCUGGUCUGAGAGGAUGAUCAGCCACACUGGGACUGAGACACGGCCCAGACUCCUACGGGAGGCAGCAGUGGGUAAUAUUGGAAAAUGGGCGGAAUCCUGAACCAGCAAUGCCGCGUGAGUGAUGAAGGCCUGAGGGUAGUAAAGCUCUUUUACCCGGGAUGAUAAUGACAGUACCGGGAGAAUAAGCUCCGGCUAACUCCGUG